UACGUAGGGUGCAAGCGUUAAUCGGAAUUACUGGGCGUAAAGCGUGCGCAGGCGGCUUUGCAAGUCAGAUGUGAAAUCCCCGGGCUUAACCUGGGAACUGCAUUUGUGACUGCAUGGCUAGGGUGCGGCAGAGGGGGGUAGAAUUCCACGUGUAGCAGUGAAAUGCGUAGAGAUGUGGAGGAACACCGAUGGCGAAGGCAGCCCCCUGGGUCAAGAUUGACGCUCAUGCACGAAAGCGUGGGGAGCAAACAGG
This 253-nucleotide ribosomal RNA is filed under the name uncultured bacterium. RNAcentral's name for it is "partial 16S ribosomal RNA". It matches the Rfam family "Bacterial small subunit ribosomal RNA", at positions 524 to 776 of the family's 1533-position model. The record is from RNAcentral.